UACGGAGGGUGCAAGCGUUAUCCGGAUUCACUGGGUUUAAAGGGUGCGUAGGCGGCUUGAUAAGUCAUUGGUGAAAGCUCGCAGCUCAACUGCGAAACUGCCAUUGAAACUGUCAAGCUUGAAUGUGGUUGAAGUGGGCGGAAUACAACAUGUAGCGGUGAAAUGCUUAGAUAUGUUUUAGAACACCGAUUGCGAAGGCAGCUCACUAAGCCAAUAUUGACGCUGAGGCACGAAAGCGUGGGUAGCAAACAGG
Molecule: ribosomal RNA, 253 nt
Filed under: uncultured bacterium
Lineage: Bacteria
Description: partial 16S ribosomal RNA
Rfam family: Bacterial small subunit ribosomal RNA
Source: RNAcentral